UGGGGAAUUUUGGACAAUGGGCGAAAGCCUGAUCCAGCAAUGCCGCGUGUGUGAAGAAGGCCUUCGGGUUGUAAAGCACUUUUGUCCGGAAAGAAAUCCUUGGCUCUAAUACAGUCGGGGGAUGACGGUACCGGAAGAAUAAGCACCGGCUAACUACGUGCCAGCAGCCGCGGUAAUACGUAGGGUGCAAGCGUUAAUCGGAAUUACUGGGCGUAAAGCGUGCGCAGGCGGUUUGCUAAGACCGAUGUGAAAUCCCCGGGCUCAACCUGGGGAACUGCAUUGGUGACUGGCAGGCUAGAGUAUGGCAGAGGGGGGUAGAAUUCCACGUGUAGCAGUGAAAUGCGUAGAGAUGUGGAGGAAUACCGAUGGCGAAGGCAGCCCCCUGGGCCAAUACUGACGCUCAUGCACGAAAGCGUGGGGAGCAAACAGGAUUAGAUACCCUGGUAGUCCACGCCCUAAACGAUGUCAACUGGUUGUUGGGUCUUAAUUGACUCAGUAACGAAGCUAACGCGUGAAGUUGACCGCCUGGGGAGUACGGCCGCAAGGUUGAAACUCAAAUGAAUUGACGGGGUC
Molecule: ribosomal RNA, 573 nt
Filed under: uncultured bacterium
Lineage: Bacteria
Description: partial 16S ribosomal RNA
Rfam family: Bacterial small subunit ribosomal RNA
Source: RNAcentral